UACGGAGGGAGCUAGCGUUGUUCGGAAUUACUGGGCGUAAAGCGCACGUAGGCGGCGACUCAAGUCAGAGGUGAAAGCCCGGGGCUCAACCCCGGAACUGCCUUUGAAACUAGGUUGCUAGAAUCCUGGAGAGGCGAGUGGAAUUCCGAGUGUAGAGGUGAAAUUCGUAGAUAUUCGGAAGAACACCAGUGGCGAAGGCGACUCGCUGGACAGGUAUUGACGCUGAGGUGCGAAAGCGUGGGGAGCAAACAGG
This 253-nucleotide ribosomal RNA is filed under the name uncultured bacterium. Its description in RNAcentral is "partial 16S ribosomal RNA". It matches the Rfam family "Bacterial small subunit ribosomal RNA", at positions 524 to 776 of the family's 1533-position model. The record is from RNAcentral.